Molecule: long non-coding RNA, 542 nt
Organism: Rhea pennata
Lineage: Eukaryota; Metazoa; Chordata; Aves; Rheiformes; Rheidae
Exons: 3
Source: RefSeq, a predicted model, not a curated record
AGGCCGCUCCAGCCUGUGCAGAGGUCCAGACCCGUUCCCAGCCAAGGCCGGGGUCACUGGGAUGUAAGAGGGAGUUCUUGCCGUCUUUAGAAGUCUGAGGGACCAAUUUUGCAAGUUAUAUGAACCUGAAAGAGCCUGCAACCCCCAGACCUGGUGGUCUCUUCGUCAUUAGUUUUAAGAGGUAACGUAUAGGAAAUACAACACAAGCAACAAUCAAAACCAAAAUGUGUUCAGAAAUGAAAUGUCAUGCAAGCAAAUGGUCAGGAACAUCAUCGUAAACUUCUGCAUGAAAGUGUGUUUGCUGUCUUACUGUAAAUAGUUAUCUGUAAAGAACGGGCAGCAAAAUGUAGAAAGUGUGUGUCAUGUCUGGUCUGAUGCUGUAAUGACAUUGUUUAGUGAUUGUGAAGCAUGCACCUGAAGGCAUUCUGUCUGAGUAAAUGAUUUCAUUCAAUCAUAAAAGAUUCUAGAAGAUCAAAAAAAUAAUAUUUAUUUCAGAAAUAUCUGAUUAGAAAAUGAAAAUGUAUCAAGAUGUAUUUCUCCUU